GUUAAGCGACUAAGCGUACACGGUGGAUGCCCUGGCAGUCAGAGGCGAUGAAGGACGUGCUAAUCUGCGAUAAGCGUCGGUAAGGUGAUAUGAACCGUUAUAACCGGCGAUUUCCGAAUGGGGAAACCCAGUGUGUUUCGACACACUAUCAUUAACUGAAUCCAUAGGUUAAUGAGGCGAACCGGGGGAACUGAAACAUCUAAGUACCCCGAGGAAAAGAAAUCAACCGAGAUUCCCCCAGUAGCGGCGAGCGAACGGGGAGCAGCCCAGAGCCUGAAUCAGUGUGUGUGUUAGUGGAAGCGUCUGGAAAGGCGCGCGAUACAGGGUGACAGCCCCGUACACAAAAAUGCACAUACUGUGAGCUCGAUGAGUAGGGCGGGACACGUGGUAUCCUGUCUGAAUAUGGGGGGACCAUCCUCCAAGGCUAAAUACUCCUGACUGACCGAUAGUGAACCAGUACCGUGAGGGAAAGGCGAAAAGAACCCCGGCGAGGGGAGUGAAAAAGAACCUGAAACCGUGUACGUACAAGCAGUGGGAGCACGCUUAGGCGUGUGACUGCGUACCUUUUGUAUAAUGGGUCAGCGACUUAUAUUCUGUAGCAAGGUUAACCGAAUAGGGGAGCCGAAGGGAAACCGAGUCUUAACUGGGCGUUAAGUUGCAGGGUAUAGACCCGAAACCCGGUGAUCUAGCCAUGGGCAGGUUGAAGGUUGGGUAACACUAACUGGAGGACCGAACCGACUAAUGUUGAAAAAUUAGCGGAUGACUUGUGGCUGGGGGUGAAAGGCCAAUCAAACCGGGAGAUAGCUGGUUCUCCCCGAAAGCUAUUUAGGUAGCGCCUCGUGAAUUCAUCUCCGGGGGUAGAGCACUGUUUCGGCAAGGGGGUCAUCCCGACUUACCAACCCGAUGCAAACUGCGAAUACCGGAGAAUGUUAUCACGGGAGACACACGGCGGGUGCUAACGUCCGUCGUGAAGAGGGAAACAACCCAGACCGCCAGCUAAGGUCCCAAAGUCAUGGUUAAGUGGGAAACGAUGUGGGAAGGCCCAGACAGCCAGGAUGUUGGCUUAGAAGCAGCCAUCAUUUAAAGAAAGCGUAAUAGCUCACUGGUCGAGUCGGCCUGCGCGGAAGAUGUAACGGGGCUAAACCAUGCACCGAAGCUGCGGCAGCGACGCUGAUGCGUUGUUGGGUAGGGGAGCGUUCUGUAAGCCUGCGAAGGUGUGCUGUGAGGCAUGCUGGAGGUAUCAGAAGUGCGAAUGCUGACAUAAGUAACGAUAAAGCGGGUGAAAAGCCCGCUCGCCGGAAGACCAAGGGUUCCUGUCCAACGUUAAUCGGGGCAGGGUGAGUCGACCCCUAAGGCGAGGCCGAAAGGCGUAGUCGAUGGGAAACAGGUUAAUAUUCCUGUACUUGGUGUUACUGCGAAGGGGGGACGGAGAAGGCUAUGUUGGCCGGGCGACGGUUGUCCCGGUUUAAGCGUGUAGGCUGGUUUUCCAGGCAAAUCCGGAAAAUCAAGGCUGAGGCGUGAUGACGAGGCACUACGGUGCUGAAGCAACAAAUGCCCUGCUUCCAGGAAAAGCCUCUAAGCAUCAGGUAACAUCAAAUCGUACCCCAAACCGACACAGGUGGUCAGGUAGAGAAUACCAAGGCGCUUGAGAGAACUCGGGUGAAGGAACUAGGCAAAAUGGUGCCGUAACUUCGGGAGAAGGCACGCUGAUAUGUAGGUGAAGCGACUUGCUCGUGGAGCUGAAAUCAGUCGAAGAUACCAGCUGGCUGCAACUGUUUAUUAAAAACACAGCACUGUGCAAACACGAAAGUGGACGUAUACGGUGUGACGCCUGCCCGGUGCCGGAAGGUUAAUUGAUGGGGUCAGCGCAAGCGAAGCUCUUGAUCGAAGCCCCGGUAAACGGCGGCCGUAACUAUAACGGUCCUAAGGUAGCGAAAUUCCUUGUCGGGUAAGUUCCGACCUGCACGAAUGGCGUAAUGAUGGCCAGGCUGUCUCCACCCGAGACUCAGUGAAAUUGAACUCGCUGUGAAGAUGCAGUGUACCCGCGGCAAGACGGAAAGACCCCGUGAACCUUUACUAUAGCUUGACACUGAACAUUGAGCCUUGAUGUGUAGGAUAGGUGGGAGGCUUUGAAGUGUGGACGCCAGUCUGCAUGGAGCCGACCUUGAAAUACCACCCUUUAAUGUUUGAUGUUCUAACGUUGACCCGUGAUCCGGGUUGCGGACAGUGUCUGGUGGGUAGUUUGACUGGGGCGGUCUCCUCCUAAAGAGUAACGGAGGAGCACGAAGGUUGGCUAAUCCUGGUCGGACAUCAGGAGGUUAGUGCAAUGGCAUAAGCCAGCUUGACUGCGAGCGUGACGGCGCGAGCAGGUGCGAAAGCAGGUCAUAGUGAUCCGGUGGUUCUGAAUGGAAGGGCCAUCGCUCAACGGAUAAAAGGUACUCCGGGGAUAACAGGCUGAUACCGCCCAAGAGUUCAUAUCGACGGCGGUGUUUGGCACCUCGAUGUCGGCUCAUCACAUCCUGGGGCUGAAGUAGGUCCCAAGGGUAUGGCUGUUCGCCAUUUAAAGUGGUACGCGAGCUGGGUUUAGAACGUCGUGAGACAGUUCGGUCCCUAUCUGCCGUGGGCGCUGGAGAACUGAGGGGGGCUGCUCCUAGUACGAGAGGACCGGAGUGGACGCAUCACUGGUGUUCGGGUUGUCAUGCCAAUGGCACUGCCCGGUAGCUAAAUGCGGAAGAGAUAAGUGCUGAAAGCAUCUAAGCACGAAACUUGCCCCGAGAUGAGUUCUCCCUGACUCCUUGAGAGUCCUGAAGGAACGUUGAAGACGACGACGUUGAUAGGCCGGGUGUGUAAGCGCAGCGAUGCGUUGAGCUAACCGGUACUAAUGAACCGUGAGGCUUAACCUUACAACGCCGAAGCUGUU
RNAcentral lists this ribosomal RNA (2920 nucleotides) under Escherichia coli. Its description in RNAcentral is "partial 23S ribosomal RNA". It matches the Rfam family "Bacterial large subunit ribosomal RNA". The record is from RNAcentral. Lineage: Bacteria; Pseudomonadati; Pseudomonadota; Gammaproteobacteria; Enterobacterales; Enterobacteriaceae.